AGGCAGAGGGAAGAAAGGGAGGCUCUUCGGAGCUUUCGCUGGAGGAGGGGCUUGCGUUUGAUUAGCUGGUUGGAGGGGUAACGGCCCACCAAGGCGACGAUCAGUAGCCGGUCUGAGAGGAUGAACGGCCACAUUGGGACUGAGACACGGCCCAGACUCCUACGGGAGGCAGCAGUGGGGAAUCUUCCGCAAUGGACGAAAGUCUGACGGAGCAACGCCGCGUGAACGAUGACGGCCUUCGGGUUGUAAAGUUCUGUUAUACGGGACGAAUGGUACGACGGUCAAUACCCGUCGUAAGUGACGGUACCGUAAGAGAAAGCCACGGCUAAUUACGUGCCAGCAGCCGCGGUAAUACGUAGGUGGCAAGCGUUGUCCGGAAUUAUUGGGCGUAAAGGGCGCGCAGGCGGCGUCGUAAUUUGGUCUUAAAAGUGCGGGGCUUAACCCCGUGAGGGGACCGAAACUGCGAUGCUAGAGUAUCGGAGAGGAAAGCGGAAUUCCUAGUGUAGCGGUGAAAUGCGUAGAUAUUAGGAGGAACACCAGUGGCGAAAGCGGCUUUCUGGACGACAACUGACGCUGAGGCGCGAAAGCCAGGGGAGCAAACGGGAUUAGAUACC
Molecule: ribosomal RNA, 614 nt
Filed under: uncultured Bacillota bacterium
Lineage: Bacteria; Bacillati; Bacillota
Description: bacterial SSU rRNA
Rfam family: Bacterial small subunit ribosomal RNA
Source: RNAcentral